AAUAGAUACCCAGGUAGUCCACGCCGUAAACGAUGAGUGCUAAGUGUUAGAGGGCUUCCACCCUUUAGUGCUGCAGCUAACGCAUUAAGCACUCCGCCUGGGGAGUACGGCCGCAAGGCUGAAACUCAAAGGAAUUGACGGGGGCCCGCACAAGCGGUGGAGCAUGUGGUUUAAUUCGAAGCAACGCGAAGAACCUUACCAGGUCUUGACAUCCUUCGCUACCUCUAGAGAUAGAGGGUUCCCCUUCGGGGGACGGAGUGACAGGUGGUGCAUGGUUGUCGUCAGCUCGUGUCGUGAGAUGUUGGGUUAAGUCCCGCAACGAGCGCAACCCUUGACCUUAGUUGCCAGCAUUCAGUUGGGCACUCUAAGGUGACUGCCGGUGACAAACCGGAGGAAGGUGGGGAUGACGUCAAAUCAUCAUGCCCCUUAUGACCUGGGCUACACACGUGCUACAAUGGAUGGUACAAAGGGUCGCGAAACCGCGAGGUGGAGCUAAUCCCAAAAAACCAUUCUCAGUUCGGAUUGCAGGCUGCAAC
RNAcentral lists this ribosomal RNA (536 nucleotides) under uncultured bacterium. Its description in RNAcentral is "bacterial SSU rRNA". It matches the Rfam family "Bacterial small subunit ribosomal RNA", at positions 777 to 1311 of the family's 1533-position model. The record is from RNAcentral.